AUGUCGGUGGCCGUGUGCCGUGGCCCGGCCGUGCCGGCGUUCGAGACCCCCGCCUGGCUGCGCCCGGCUGAGCUGUACAAGCCGGAGGCGGCGGUGGCCGACGACCGGCCUGCACAGGUCGACGUAUGGAAUGCCAUCCAGGCCGACGUGGUCGACAGCAAGGCGGCCGCCGCCAAGAAGCCGUACGUCAGCCCGCGCGUGCGCCGGUCCAUGAGCCAGAAGAGCCUCGAGGUCUGCACCGAGAGCCUCGGCUGCGAGACCGGCUCCAGCGACUUCACCGACGCCGUCGACAUGGCCUGCCUCUUUGGUGCCUCGCCGCUGCCGACGGCGCCCGGCGAGGCAGAGGAGUCCUUCUGGGAGGAGAGCAGUGCCGCACAAGAAAGCUGCUACCCGGGCGAGGUCGACCUCGUGGCGGUGAACUACCACUCCUCGGCCGGGAGACGGUCGCCGCGCCGCUCGUUCCCGCCGCCGCUGCCGUCCAUGUCCAGCCGCGACGGGCCGUGCCUGAAGAUGUGCUCGCGCCGCCAGGACGGCCGCCUCGUCGUCGAGGCGGUGGUGGUGAGGCCGCGCGGGUACCUCCAGGCGAACCGCCAGGGCGGCCGCCUCUGCCUCUCCUUCAUCGAGUGCUCUGCCCGUGGGCAGAGCGGUACGAGCAAGAGCGCGGCCCCGGCCGAGGCGUCCUACUUCGUCCCGGUCGUGGAGGGCAAGUGCGAGCCAGAGCAGGGGGUGGCCAUGCAGGUGGAGGAGGAGGAGGAGGAGGAAGACGAGGAGGAGGUGGAGGUGGUGGACAGAGGCACCAUGGUGGAGGUGAAGGUCAGCUCGCAGCCGCAGGCGCCCGCGGCCGCCAAGGUGCACCGGUCGACGCUCGUGAUCAACAAGUUCGUCGGGAGCACGCCCUUCACCUUGGAGCAAGCGCGGUGCCACGCCGCCGACGCGCCGCACCCCGAGCCGUCCGCCCGCGAGGAAACCCCAACGCUGCUGCGCCGGGUGCCCUCGUCCACGACGACGCUCGCGGCCGCGGUCGCGGUGGCGUCGACCGAGACGGGCGCGCCGCACGCUCCCGUCGACGGCGACGACAGUGACGAGGAGGACGAGGACGAUGAGUGCGGCGGACGGCACCACCGCGCGUCGGCCCUGGCCGCCGCGGACACGAAGCAGCAGCUCCUGCUGUUCACGUCGCGGCGGGGCGACAAGCACGACCUGCUGCAGAGCGUGCGGCGGUGCCGGCAGCUGCGGCAGAAGCCGCUCUUCAUCCUGGAGCAGUACUGCAUUGCCACCUCCUAA
This 1284-nucleotide ribosomal RNA is filed under the name Triticum aestivum (bread wheat). Its description in RNAcentral is "partial small subunit ribosomal RNA". The record is from RNAcentral. Lineage: Eukaryota; Viridiplantae; Streptophyta; Magnoliopsida; Poales; Poaceae.